Molecule: long non-coding RNA, 2006 nt
Organism: Mus musculus (house mouse)
Lineage: Eukaryota; Metazoa; Chordata; Mammalia; Rodentia; Muridae
Product: predicted gene, 51818
Exons: 3
Source: RefSeq, a predicted model, not a curated record
UGUUCCUUCCUGAUGCUCCAGAGUCAGGUAACUCACGGGCUGAGGACAACAUCAGCUUCCCCUCUCUCAAUUCCUCUGCCCUACAUGGCUGGAGAAAGCAUGUGGUAGGCUCAGGGAGAGAAGAAGAGAAUGUGGCAUAUAUUGCUGCUCUGGUGUCCCUUCACACUGGUGACACUAGUGGCAUCUGGCCAUCUUAGGCACAGGCAAUGGGCUUCUCAGAGGUCUACCAGAUGGCUCAAAUUCAGUCUUUGUUCCAGAACAAACAGUUUGUCUAGGCCAGUGACAUCCUUUAAGGGACUGGUCCUGUGGGUUAGCAGCCAGCUUGCUGGGGUAGCUGAAACCUAAAGAAUGCUUCACCGUGAUAAAUGAGCACAAUUAAAAAGCAGUCACAGGGGCCAGGCCUUUACAGUCCAGAAGACAGUAAUAAUUAGCUAAUAGCCCAGCACAUGGAGCCCCUCCAGGGUAAGAACAUACAGGGGCAUAUUCUACCUGCUUUUAAAUAUUUUUUUUUUCCCCUCGAAAGCUAUCCUUGCUUGGUACUAAGCUGACAUUCUGGAGAAGGUGUUAAGCCUUCCAAGCUAGCAGAAGUGGGGUCAGUGAAGCUACAGAUACCCCUCCUUGAUCGGUUCAUGUCUUAUAUUCCCUCGACAGGAGACAACCAAUCCCCCUUCUCUUUGUUUUCUGUGGUUGCUGGGCAUGUCGGAGCAUAUGGAGCUACAACAUUCAUAUACAGAGUCCCUAUAAGAAUUGAUAUAUGGAGCAUCUCAUUCCUCAAAUGUUAGUGUGUGGACCAAUCAGCCAGAGAACUUGAGUGCUCACAGAUGCUUCUUAAGUUCUGGGGUAAGGCAGGAGAGCUGCAGGAGAGGGGAAGUCAGAGGUGCGAAUACCUGGACCAUAUAUUGAGGAGCAAGGCCACAGGAGUCCUACUGAGCCUGGAAAUCAAAGGCUCUCUAGACUCUGUGAUGCCAGACACAAUUCGUUUCCUAAGACUAUGCAAAGGACCAUAAAUGUCACUCCCGGGCUCCCAACUCUAAGUCCUACCUCACCAUGUUAAUUUCAUGAUGUGUUAAAUGAGAGCCGGAGAGCUUCCAACUGGCGGAUCUACAAUAAGCUACUGUGAUCGUCUUAGCUCCACGGAACAGGAAAUAAUGUUUCCAGGAUUGAAGACAAUACCCAAUCUUGGGUUCUGCCAUGUGAACAGGGUACCCAAAUGGCUUCCAAAUGCUUUUAACUGAUCCAAGAAGUGCCAAUUUCCAGAGGACUCUGCCAACUUUCCACUUACAGCUCGAGUCUUGUACAUUAACCUAUGACGCAGAAUGCUUGGGGAAAACGCUUUCGGGAAAAUUGGACUGGUGUGUAAGCCAUCCACCCCAGCAUCCAUCCUCACAGGUAACCAGGGCUUCAGUGGACUCCAGGGUUUGCUGCAGACCUCAUGUUCCCUCCCUGAAGAGGCUGCUGGCCUUCCUCCAUCAGAAACCAUCCUCUCCCAGGGUUCCUUUGUUCACUUCCUGCAAUAGCUUUUGAUGUUCCUGGAAGCCUCACAUAAAUCUAGCAGGCUCCGAGGUGCAAUAAGACUAAGACAUCUAUCUGGAGGAGUGUUGCUGCAGGAGCCUGGCAGACUACCACACCACGCACACCAGCCGACAUGCCUGAAACACCACAACUCAGGUUAGAGUUGCCGCUAUGCUACGCAUGCCGCUGCGUGCUAUGAACUCAGGGUUUGUGUUAGCCAUCCAUACAAUGUCUUCUGAAACAUAAUGGCUUAAUUACAGAAAACAAAACUUUCGAUAUUUUUGUUCCUCAUCAUGCAAAUGUUAAACUACUGCAUCUAUGGGUUAUAUCAUAUUUAACUACAGUUAUAUCAUAUUUAACUCUAAGAAUCAAUAUGUGAGUUACUUACUUCAUAAAAACCACUGCACAAAUGUCAGUUUGGAUGGAAGGGAGUGUUUCUAACAAUUUCUGAAGUUACCCUAAGCCUGUGUCUGCCAUUUUCAAAAACUAUGUAU